This 508-nucleotide ribosomal RNA is filed under the name uncultured bacterium. RNAcentral describes it as "partial 16S ribosomal RNA". It matches the Rfam family "Bacterial small subunit ribosomal RNA", at positions 28 to 507 of the family's 1533-position model. The record is from RNAcentral.
GACGAACGCUGGCGGCGUGCCUAAUACAUGCAAGUCGAACGCUUCUUUCCUCCCGAGUGCUUGCACUCAAUUGGAAAGAGGAGUGGCGGACGGGUGAGUAACACGUGGGUAACCUACCCAUCAGAGGGGGAUAACACUUGGAAACAGGUGCUAAUACCGCAUAACAGUUUAUGCCGCAUGGCAUAAGAGUGAAAGGCGCUUUCGGGUGUCGCUGAUGGAUGGACCCGCGGGGCAUUAGCUAGUUGGUGAGGUAACGGCUCACCAAGGCAACGAUGCAUAGCCGACCUGAGAGGGUGAUCGGCCACACUGGGACUGAGACACGGCCCAGACUCCUACGGGAGGCAGCAGUAGGGAAUCUUCGGCAAUGGACGAAAGUCUGACCGAGCAACGCCGCGUGAGUGAAGAAGGUGUUCGGAUCGUAAAACUCUGUUGUUAGAGAAGAACAAGGACGUUAGUAACUGAACGUCUCCUGACGGUACCUAAACAGAAAGCCACGGCUAACUACGUG